UACGGAGGGUGCAAGCGUUAUCCGGAUUCACUGGGUUUAAAGGGUGCGUAGGUGGGUUUGUAAGUCAGUGGUGAAAUCUCCGGGCUUAACUCGGAAACUGCCAUUGAUACUAUAGAUCUUGAAUAUCCUGGAGGUGAACGGAAUAUGUCAUGUAGCGGUGGAAUGCUUAGAUAUGACAUAGAACACCAAUUGCGAAGGCAGUUCACUACGGGAUCAUUGACACUGAGGCACGAAAGCGUGGGGAUCAAACAGG
RNAcentral lists this ribosomal RNA (253 nucleotides) under uncultured bacterium. RNAcentral describes it as "partial 16S ribosomal RNA". It matches the Rfam family "Bacterial small subunit ribosomal RNA", at positions 524 to 776 of the family's 1533-position model. The record is from RNAcentral.